Molecule: ribosomal RNA, 435 nt
Filed under: uncultured Leucobacter sp.
Lineage: Bacteria; Bacillati; Actinomycetota; Actinomycetes; Micrococcales; Microbacteriaceae
Description: bacterial SSU rRNA
Rfam family: Bacterial small subunit ribosomal RNA
Source: RNAcentral
AACGCGAAGAACCUUACCAAGGCUUGACAUAUACGAGAACGGGCCAGAAAUGGUCAACUCUUUGGACACUCGUAUACAGGUGGUGCAUGGUUGUCGUCAGCUCGUGUCGUGAGAUGUUCGGUUAAGUCCGGCAACGAGCGCAACCCUCGUCCUAUGUUGCCAGCACGUUAUGGUGGGAACUCAUGGGAUACUGCCGUGGUCAACACGGAGGAAGGUGGGGAUGACGUCAAAUCAUCAUGCCCCUUAUGUCUUGGGCUUCACGCAUGCUACAAUGGCCGAUACAAAGGGCUGCGAUACCGCGAGGUGGAGCGAAUCCCAAAAAGUCGGUCUCAGUUCGGAUUGGGGUCUGCAACUCGACCCCAUGAAGUCGGAGUCGCUAGUAAUCGCAGAUCAGCAAUGCUGCGGUGAAUACGUUCCCGGGUCUUGUACACACCG